Neomonachus schauinslandi (Hawaiian monk seal) is the source of this 142-nucleotide small nuclear RNA. RefSeq annotates it as U4 spliceosomal RNA. The record is from RefSeq and is a predicted model, not a curated record. The transcript has a single exon. Lineage: Eukaryota; Metazoa; Chordata; Mammalia; Carnivora; Phocidae.
AGCUUUGCGCAGUGGCAGUAUCGUAGCCAAUGAGGUUUAUCCGAGGUGCGAUUAUUGCUAAUUGAAAUAAAAGCUGAAGUCCAGAAUUAUGAUGCAUCCAACUUUGUUGUGCUUUUGUUUUGUUUUUUGUUUUGUUUUCAAG